Molecule: ribosomal RNA, 301 nt
Filed under: uncultured bacterium
Lineage: Bacteria
Description: partial 16S ribosomal RNA
Rfam family: Bacterial small subunit ribosomal RNA
Source: RNAcentral
CAGCAGCCGCGGUAAUACGAAGGUCCCGAGCGUUGUUCGGAAUCACUGGGCGUAAAGGGAGCGUAGGCGGCGUGGUAAGUCAGAUGUGAAAUCCCGGGGCUCAACCCCGGAACUGCAUCCGAUACUGCCAUGCUAGAGGAUCGGAGAGGUAGCUGGAAUUCUUGGUGUAGCAGUGAAAUGCGUGGAGAUCAAGAGGAACACUCGUGGCGAAAGCGUGCUACUGGACAAUAACUGACGCUGAGGCUCGAAGGCCAGGGUAGCGAAAGGGAUUAGAUACCCCUGUAGUCCCUGUCUCUUAUAC